RNAcentral lists this transfer RNA (75 nucleotides) under Escherichia coli. RNAcentral describes it as "tRNA-Gly". It matches the Rfam family "tRNA". From Rfam's summary of the family: Transfer RNA (tRNA) molecules are approximately 80 nucleotides in length. Their secondary structure includes four short double-helical elements and three loops (D, anti-codon, and T loops). The record is from RNAcentral. RNAcentral also lists the same sequence under 2 other names. Lineage: Bacteria; Pseudomonadati; Pseudomonadota; Gammaproteobacteria; Enterobacterales; Enterobacteriaceae.
UGCGGGCAUCGUAUAAUGGCUAUUACCUCAGCCUUCCAAGCUGAUGAUGCGGGUUCGAUUCCCGCUGCCCGCUCC